Molecule: ribosomal RNA, 244 nt
Filed under: uncultured bacterium
Lineage: Bacteria
Description: partial 16S ribosomal RNA
Rfam family: Bacterial small subunit ribosomal RNA
Source: RNAcentral
UUCCCUACGGGAGGCAGCAGUGGGGGAUAUUGCACAAUGGGGGAAACCCUGAUGCAGCGACGCCGCGUGGGUUAAGAAUCGCCUCGGCGCGUAAAGCCCUGUCAGCAGGGAAGAAAAUGUCGGUACCUGAAGAAGAAGCCCCGGCUAACUACGUGCCAGCAGCCGCGGUAAUACGUAGGGGGCAAGCGUUAUCCGGAUUUACUGGGUGUAAAGGGGGCGCAGACGGCGAUGCAAGCCAGGCGUG